AUAUAAAUAAAAUCUUCAUAUUGAUUUGUCAGUUUGGAUCUUGCUUGUUUCAGUGAUUGUUUGACUAAUUAUUGGCUCUGGUAUCAUUUUUCCUUUUUUCAGACACUUCCCAUUUUUCUUGAUCAUCUGGUUAUAGCUUGGGGUGCUAUUUUGAUUUCAGUGACAUUGAUUCUUCUGUUCGGUGAGAUAAUACUGCAAUCUGUUUGUUCUUGAUAUGGUUUGGCAAUCGGGGCAGCAGUUGCUCUAGUUCUCCGUGUUCUCGUCUUUAUCUGCUUUCUUGUUGCAUAUCCAAUCAGCAAGGUAAGAUAUGCAGUCAGAAACUAAUAGUGAAAUCGAGUUCACUUGAUAUGGUAAGAUUAUUUGUAGUGAGUGAACUUGAUUUCACUAUUAGUACUUUGCUAUUGAAUUGAACUAGGUGCUGGAAUUGACUUGCAGUCACAAACUAUAAUUAGUUUGAGCUAUAACUACUAAAGUAAUGUGUUUUCCUUGGCAAUUUGAAUGGACCCAAUGUUGAAUUAAAUAUAUACCGUGUUUGUAUUGCUUGUAAGUUGCCAUUGUGUCUUACAAUUUAUGAAAUUUCUUUAUGGGGUUAGUUUGAAUUGUUGGCUCGUAGUCUUAGGGAGAGGAACAAUAUCGCAUUCUCUUAGUAGUAGGUGCUAUAGGCAGAAAGCUUGCACUCACAGACAUUCAUUAUGCAGCAAUUUGUAAAUUACUUUAUUAGCUUCAUCAGCGAGUUGCUUUAGUCAUAAUGCUGUUUGCUUUCAGUAUACAGACACGUAAUUGUAUGUGUUUGCUUUGCUUGAUGCAAGUCAUUGAUUUUAAAUCUUUCCCUAUAUUUGUUGCAGCUGCUAUAAUUAACUGGAGUUUAAUCUCUCUAGUUGAUUUGAUAGCUUUUGUAUGUAGUUUAGCAGAUUGAAUUGUAUACUAUUAUUGUUUUACUGUACUUUGCAUGCCAUGUGCAAUUAUGCUUGCAUGAUGUUUAUCAUUUGGAAUCUUUUUCUUGGGUUGGGGGUUGAGGAUGGGUUGAGUUAAUCUAACUUGCUAUCAUGAAUGUUUUGAUAAAUUAAGAAAGAGAGAGAAUCUAUGGCUGAUUUGUUAGGUUUAAACGUAGCAUUCCACAUUACUUCGGGUGUUUCUUGCUGUACAUGGGAUUGACUUAAAAAUUCUUAUUCCUCUCUUCUUUGUUCUCUCUAAAGGAGAUUAGGGGUUUGUUUAGUUGUGUUUUAAGAAAAUAGAUUUUAAAUUUUUUUCCUUAUUUACACAAUAAAAUGUUGCAAACAAACUUUUAUAGGCAUAAGGAAAUAUUUCUUUUUCUUACAUGUGAUGCGACUGGCCCUAACUAAUCUAUUGCGAAUCUAUAAUUGACCCCAAAAAAGUAAGGCUUAGUUGUAGUUGGAAUGAAAAUAUCAGGAGGGUGGCUUGCUUUAUGCUGAAGCUGAUUGUCGAUAUUUUGAAAUAGGGAGCUGUUGGGGUCAUUCCGACAGACACUUUGUAUGUUGCACUUCCUGUGUUUGAAUGCACUUUUUUUGAAAUAGGGAGCUAAUUGCAUGCACUUUUUUUUUUCAUGUGUUUGAAUCUCAUUGGUUUGUGAGUAGUGGAAAAAAAAUAGAUCAAUUUGGAAGUUACAACAAUCUGUAUAUAAUUGCCAGGAAGAAUAAGAUAAAAAUUAUGAUCAUAGAAUAACUUAGAAAUAAUGUGCAAAACUCUCAAAAUUUUUGUGAGUUCCACUUAUUAAAAUAAGAAAUAAAAACAUUUUGAAUGGAUAAUGUGAAAUGCAAUUUGCAUAUUAUUGCAAACAAAUCAUUAUAGAUAACCAAUUAACCAUACAUGUAGGACCAUAUGUAUCAAAUUUAUUUAUUUAUUUUU
Long non-coding RNA from Quercus robur (English oak), 1866 nucleotides. RefSeq lists it as uncharacterized. The record is from RefSeq and is a predicted model, not a curated record. NCBI's taxonomy places the organism in Eukaryota, Viridiplantae, Streptophyta, Magnoliopsida, Fagales, Fagaceae. The transcript has 2 exons.